UACGUAGGGGGCAAGCGUUAUCCGGAUUUACUGGGUGUAAAGGGAGCGUAGACGGCGAUGCAAGUCUGAAGUGAAAGGCGGGGGCCCAACCCCCGGACUGCUUUGGAAACUGUAUGGCUGGAGUGCAGGAGAGGUAAGUGGAAUUCCUAGUGCAGCGGUGAAAUGCGUAGAUAUUAGGAGGAACACCAGUGGCGAAGGCGGCUUACUGGACUGUAACUGACGUUGAGGCUCGAAAGCGUGGGGAGCAAACAGG
This 253-nucleotide ribosomal RNA is filed under the name uncultured bacterium. RNAcentral's name for it is "partial 16S ribosomal RNA". It matches the Rfam family "Bacterial small subunit ribosomal RNA", at positions 524 to 776 of the family's 1533-position model. The record is from RNAcentral.